This 564-nucleotide ribosomal RNA is filed under the name uncultured Glomus. Its description in RNAcentral is "eukaryotic LSU rRNA". It matches the Rfam family "Eukaryotic large subunit ribosomal RNA", at positions 156 to 636 of the family's 3401-position model. The record is from RNAcentral. Lineage: Eukaryota; Fungi; Glomeromycota; Glomeromycetes; Glomerales; Glomeraceae.
AGACGUUUUCUGCAUCCAGGAUUAGCCUAAAUCCUUCGGGAUAAGGUAUCAUGGAGGGUGAGAAUCCCGUUCAUGGUUAAUCUUAAGGAAGCUCUACGAUACGUUUUCCAAGAGUCGAGUUGUUUGGGAUUGCAGCUCAAAAUGGGAGGUAAAUUUCUCCUAAGGCUAAAUAUUGGCGAGAGACCGAUAGCGAACAAGUACCGUGAGGGAAAGAUGAAAAGAACUUUGAAAAGAGAGUUAAACAGUACGUGAAAUUGUUGAAAGGGAAACGAUUGAAGUCAGUCAUACCAACGGGAAAUCAACCUUUUGAGUUUGUCUCGUGGGUUUUGAAGAGUUUCAAAGCCUUCGGAUUCGCGGGAUUGGGAUCUCUUGGUGUACUUUUUCGUACGGUUAGUCAACAUCGGUUUUGAAUGCCGUAAAAUGACUGGAGGAAUGUAGCUUCGAUCUCGUAUUGAAGUGUUAUAGCCUUUGGUAGAUGUGAUGUUUGAGACCGAGGAUUGCAACGGAUACCCUUUAGGGCUAUUCGUCUGAUCUCUGAUACGUUGCCUUGAUGUUGAAAGCUUG